RNAcentral lists this ribosomal RNA (253 nucleotides) under uncultured bacterium. RNAcentral describes it as "partial 16S ribosomal RNA". It matches the Rfam family "Bacterial small subunit ribosomal RNA", at positions 524 to 776 of the family's 1533-position model. The record is from RNAcentral.
UACAGGGGGUGCAAACGUUGCUCGGAAUCAUUGGGCGUAAAGCGCACGUAGGCGGUUCGUUAUGUCGGAUGUGAAAGCCCUUGGCUUAACCGAGGAAGUGCAUCCGAAACUGGCGAGCUAGAGUACUAAAGAGGAUCGCGGAAUUCCCGGUGUAGAGGUGAAAUUCGUAGAUAUCGGGAGGAACACCGGUGGCGAAGGCGGGUCUCUGGACAGUUCCUGACGCUGAGGCACGAAGGUCAGGGGAGCAAACGGG